Molecule: long non-coding RNA, 217 nt
Filed under: Lathyrus oleraceus (garden pea)
Lineage: Eukaryota; Viridiplantae; Streptophyta; Magnoliopsida; Fabales; Fabaceae
Description: Pisum sativum (pea) long non-coding RNA (PSAT_LNC003896)
Source: RNAcentral
UAACCUUCCGCCACCUUGGUAACAACCAUUGGUUUCUUUAAUUUUUUGUUACUUGGUGUUUUUUCUAUUAAUGCUAUUGAAGCUUGGUUUUUUAAAAGUGUUUGUGUUUUUUAUUUUGUUUAUUAGAUGAGAAAGAUAGAAAUGAGAAGGUGACUGAUAAGAGAGAGGGAGGGGGUGUCGUUGGCCGGUCAACCGCCCCCUGGGUCAUUGAGCAAAC